Molecule: long non-coding RNA, 1070 nt
Organism: Cebus imitator (Panamanian white-faced capuchin)
Lineage: Eukaryota; Metazoa; Chordata; Mammalia; Primates; Cebidae
Exons: 4
Source: RefSeq, a predicted model, not a curated record
GCCGUCGUCAGGCUGGGGGUGGCGCUGGGGCUCCUGUGUCUGUGUCUGGAGACGCAGCUGACUCCUGACAAGCCCAGACACGCAGCUGUUCCUGCAGAGGAAGCAGCAGCAGCGGGGGAAGGGCCGAGCGUUGAGGGAGGGGGAAGAGGGACCAAAGGACAUCAGAGUGACCGCGUGCAGUGGAGCAAGUGUGAGCUGAGUCCCAGUCUCCAGAUGAGUUCUGCUGCCAAUCCCAGCGGGCUGAGACACAGUGACUGCCCACCUGUCCCUGGGCCCUUCCCUUCCCCAACGAGCUUCUCAUUGGAUGUUCCCAGCUGGUAGGAUCUGGAGAAGGCUGGGGGAGCUGUCUCCAUGACCCCAGUGGGGGUGAGAGACAGAAGCUUCAUCUGGAGCCUGCCGGCUGGAAUUUUGGGCAUUCAUAUAGACCUGAGCAUCCUGGAACAGCCCUGAACCUGGGCAUCAAACUCCCCAGGCUUGAGAAUGCCAUUCACUUUAGCUGCCAAAGGAGCCCUUGGGAGAAGCUCCCUGAAGGCUCUAAUGCCAUCCUAAAGUAGAUUUUUGGAGGCUUCCAAAAGGUUCAAGAAGAAAAAGACCCAAAGGAAGUCCAGGACCCAGAGAACGCAACAGUGUCUCUCUUCCUAAUUAAGACACAUUCCUCUCAUUCAUGGACGUGCUUCCUUGAGGCCUCGGAACAAACUGGUGCGUCAAACAAGGCCUUUGGUACCGAGUGGUACAGGCUGCAUGAUUCCCUCCAUCAAGGAUCUGGGCAUGUUGUGAACAUUGGGAUCUGGCUGGGCAUGAAGGCUGCUAGUCCACACAACCCAAGCUGCAUUGGAAGAGACGGCCCACCCUCAAAGGACGUAACCUUCACCAUAGCCUUACAGGGCAUCCAAGCCAAGUCCGUGCUUGUCACCAAGGACAACUGGGGACCCAAAGAGAUGAAAUGACUUUUGAUGGAGCAGUGGUAGGGAGGGACUAGAAUCUAGAGUUUUUUUUUUUUUUUUCUUCUUCUUCUUAAAAUAAGUCUUGCUAUGUUGCCCAGGCAGGUCUCAAACUGGAUUUAAGCAAUC